This is a long non-coding RNA of Cyanistes caeruleus (blue tit), 2001 nucleotides long. RefSeq lists it as uncharacterized. The record is from RefSeq and is a predicted model, not a curated record. NCBI's taxonomy places the organism in Eukaryota, Metazoa, Chordata, Aves, Passeriformes, Paridae.
UCUAGAGAGCUUAGGGAGCAUAUGGUUUCCUCUCCCAAGUUCUCCAAGCUUGUAUCUGGCUUGGUUCUACCUGAAAGCUCAGUCCUGUGCAACAUUAUUUGGGAGAGCAUCCCACCUGGGAGGAGGCAAGGUGGUCCCAUGGGCCUUCAAGGACCCACGCACCUGUAACAGAUCUCAGCAUGAAUCAAUAUGUUGCUCCAGGUGAUGUUAAAGAGAAAAUCCAUCUGAGUUCAGUGAAAGCAGACCCUGCACUCGGCUCUCGAAUGCCUUUUCCACCCUCUCUCCCCAGGGUAAAGUGUUGAUCCCAAGUGACAUAAAACAUGAGAAGAGGGCAGAUGCCAGGAGCAACAGCUGGGGAAAUGGGAAAGGAGGAGCUGCAUGGAUCAUCCUUGAUUCAGGCCAUGGACUCAAAUAAACAAGAUUUGCCCAUCAGCCAUCCCAGUCUGCCACAGGCAAAGUCACAGCUCAGACUGCAGCCAGAGCUGAGUCAAUGACACUGCUCCUCUGCAUCAACCCUGAGGCAACAUGGGGAAGAAUGGGAAGAGCACUAGGGAAAAGCACCAGGCAUGAGGCAGAUUCCUUUAGAUCCCAAUGUUUUCUCUGACUCCAAGAUUAUGGAUAUUACUGUAGCAUGGACAACCUUCCGCUCCCCCUGGGUUGGGGGGUGCACCCCACGCUGCCUGCAGGCACCAACCAUGUUCCAGCAGGGCCUCCAAGGGAGCAUUAACAAACAACCCCACUUUUAAGCUUUCCUACUGUCUGCUUCUCAGUGGCAUCACAUCAAACAUGCUGGUGGCUGCCAGCCCAGCUCUGCGUGCCCAGCUCGAGUCUCCCGACGCCACGGCCAGGCUUGGAAACAGCCCUUGAGAUGCUGCUGCUUGUCAGCCACAACAAUCUCAGCCUUAACUGCACAAGCACAACCAUAAAGAGGCUCUGACUCUGCAGGUUUCCAGCCCUUUUUUUUCAGGUUUAUCUCUAAAUGCUACGUGCAACUCUGCUGCAAAGGGUUUGUCCUCUUGCCUGGUUGGAGAUCACCUCAAGGUGUGCUUGCCCUGCAAAGGGUGCCCUGUGGUGCUUACACACACACACAGCCACAAAAGUUCAACUGAGCAAGAGAGAUAAAGUGGGUUCAGUGCUUUCUCUUCUGUCUGCCUGCUGUGGAAAUUACAGACCCCCUCAACCACCUGUCUGUGUGGCAGGAGCCACCACACUGGCUCAGACCAAAGGGCAGUUCCAGCAAAAUGCCUCCCAGCUUGUAACAAAUGCCUGUAUGGAAAGCAUAAAAAAAAGAGAAAAUAUGGAGAUAUUCCUGAUUCACUCCCUUGAUCUCUCAGGAUCAGCAAUUCAGAGGUUUCCUGGGUGUAAGGGUGCACUGAGACCAUUGUGUGCCCACCCAAGCAAUGGCCCCUCGCACACAGAUGAGACAUUUUCUCAUACACACAACUUGGCAGGGGUUUUCAUGUCCUGCCAGCUCUCAGACAAGCAACACACUGCAGCUCUGCAGGGAAAAGCCAAAGAAGUGCCUCAGCUGGUGCCAGCUGCGUGCCAUUGAUGCUAAUGGACUUGUUCUGCUUUAUACCAGCUGAUGAUCUCCCUCUUUUCCCUUUCUGCUUUCUCAACAGAUUUUCUGGUGCUCAAUAUAUGAAACAUCCAUCAAAAAGGUGGAUCUAGUCCAGCAAGUGCUGUGACACUGGUUUAUGUCUGUUACAGGAACGUGUAAGAGCACUGCCAUAGGGCUUUAAGAGACCACCAGCCCUGGGAAAGCUUUGUGCUAACCCUCAUUACUUAAAUAUUGGCUUAUUCCUUCAAGAUGGGGCUUUCUAUCCUUUGAAAUCCUUUGGGUUGUUCUCAUCCCUGCCAAUGACUGGGAGCCAUUAUGUCAGGGAAAAAGCAUGGGACAUGCUAUAACCCUUCAUCCCCUGAGCACACUGUCAGUCCCACUAGGGACACUGCUUCUCCAUCCUGCUUUAAAGAAAGCACCUGUGAUUAUUCCCAAAAAAA